UUUCCGCUGGGGGGUCUUGGGACCCCGACCUUCGGGGGCUGAUUUUUGGGCGCGGCUGUGCCCGUGGCCUAUUUUUGGCACACGGAGGCCGCCCGCCAACUCUGGGGCCAUUCCGAGUCCCGCGGACGAACUUCGCCCACGCCCCCCACCAAGGCUAUAGCCCACCCGUUUUUUGGCCAUUUUUCCGCUGGGGGGUCUUGGGACCCCAACCUUCGGGGGCUGAUUUUUGGGCGCGGCUGUGCCCGUGGCCUAUUUUUGGCACACGGAGGCCGCCCGCCAAGUAUGGUGCCAUUCCGAGUCCCGCGGACGAACUUCGCCCACGCCCCCCACCAAGGCUAUAGCCCACGCGUUUCUUGGCCUUUUUUCCGCUGGGGGGUCUUGUGACCCCGACCUUCGGGGGCUGAUUUUUGGGCGCGGCUGUGCCCGUGGCCUAUUUUUGGCACACGGAGGCCGCCCGCCAAGUCUGGGGCCAUUCCGAGUCCCGCGGACGAACUUCGCCCACGCCCCCCACCAAGGCUAUAGCCCACGCGUUUCUUGGCCUUUUUUCCGCUGGGGGGUCUUGUGACCCCGACCUUCGGGGGCUGAUUUUUGGGCGCGGCUGUGCCCGUGGCCUAUUUUUGGCACACGGAGGCCGCCCGCCAAGUCUGGGGCCAUUCCGAGUCCCGCGGACGAACUUCGCCCACGACCCCACCAAGGCUAUAGCCCACCCGUUUCUUGGCCAUUUUUCCGCUGGGGGGUCUUGGGACCCCGACCUUCGGGGGCUGAUUUUUGGGCGCGGCUGUGCCCGUGGCCUAUUUUUGGCACACGGAGGCCGCCCGCCAAGUCUGGGGCCAUUCCGAGUCCCGCGGACGAACUUCGCCCACGCCCCCCACCAAGGCUAUAGCCCACCCGUUUCUUGGCCAUUUUUCCGCUGGGGGGUCUUGGGACCCCGACCUUCGGGGGCUGAUUUUUGGGCGCGGCUGUGCCCGUGGCCUAUUUUUGGCACACGGAGGCCGCCCGCCAAGUCUGGGGCCAUUCCGAGUCCCGCGGACGAACUUCGCCCACGCCCCCCACCAAGGCUAUAGCCCACGCGUUUCUUGGCCAUUUUUCCGCUGGGGGGUCUUGGGACCCCGACCUUCGGGGGCUGAUUUUUGGGCGCGGCUGUGCCCGUGGCCUAUUUUUGGCACACGGAGGCCGCCCGCCAAGUCUGGGGCCAUUCCGAGUCACGCGGACGAACUUCGCCCACGCCCCCCACCAAGGCUAUAGCCCACCCGUUUUUUGGCCAUUUUUCCGCUGGGGGGUCUCGUGACCCCGACCUUCGGGGGCUGAUUUUUGGGCGCGGCUGUGCCCGUGGCCUAUUUUUGGCACACGGAGGCCGCCCGCCAAGUAUGGUGCAAUUCCGAGUCCCGCGGACGAACUUCGCCCACGCCCCCCACCAAGGCUAUAGCCCACCCGUUUCUUGGCCUUUUUUCCGCUGGGGGGUCUUGGGACCCCGACCUUCGGGGGCUGAUUUUUGGGCGCGGCUGUGCCCGUGGCCUAUUUUUGGCACACGG
RNAcentral lists this long non-coding RNA (1532 nucleotides) under Citrus x clementina. Its description in RNAcentral is "Citrus clementina (C. clementina) long non-coding RNA (CCLE_LNC001653)". Lineage: Eukaryota; Viridiplantae; Streptophyta; Magnoliopsida; Sapindales; Rutaceae. The record is from RNAcentral.